Long non-coding RNA from Ochotona princeps (American pika), 423 nucleotides. RefSeq lists it as uncharacterized. NCBI's taxonomy places the organism in Eukaryota, Metazoa, Chordata, Mammalia, Lagomorpha, Ochotonidae. The transcript has 3 exons. The record is from RefSeq and is a predicted model, not a curated record.
ACAUCUGCCUCACUUCCCCUCAGGCCCCAUGGGCUGCUGGUCAACCUCUGGAUCCACUAAAGAUGAUGCAAACGCCGACUGCACUAUCUGAAACCCAAAGGACUCAAGGAGAGACAUGUUCUGCUGAGGGGAGAAAGAGCAUCAGAGAAGGCAGCCUUCCUCUUGAAGUGUGUUCAAAUGGAGGCUUUAACCCACUGGAGACCCAAUCCCCCGUUGAGAUGCACCCCUUUCCUUCACAGACGCAGAUCCCAACCACCUGAGACCUCAAGCAGGAACUUGGCGGCCGUCAUCAGCUCGGGGAAGCUCUCCAGGCGCACCACGAUGCGGGAAGUGUAGGCGAAGUCCAGGAUAUCGCCGAAUACCUUGGAGCUGAUGGUGUGCAUCUCCAACUCCCGGCUGCCCCCAGCCCCGCCGCCAGGGGCU